AAAUGUUUCCCGCCAUUUUGUACUUGAUCCAUUUACUCAUACAGUUAUAUUCAUACAGCGUUUGUGUUGAAUCGUGAAAUUGAUAGGCGAAACGAUGGAAGCUGUACGGUCUCAGAGGAAAUCUUCGGUGUCCAACGGCGUCGUUUCAACUCUCCCUCUCUAUCGCUCUGCCCCUCCUCUUGAAGUCCGUCUUGACGAUUUCGAGCUUUACGCCAUCGAUCGCCUACGAGUUCUUAAAGGAAUUUCGGAUGCUUUGUCUAGAGGAAAGAAGCCGGAUGAGAUGGAGAGAUUGGUGUUGGAUCUGUGGAAAACAAAUAUGAGGCAACAAGAUUCCUCUGAGGUUGUUAAUAAGGACAUAAUUUCACAUUUUGUCUUGCGACUUGUUUAUUGCAGGACGGAGGAGUUAAGAAAAUGGUUUCUUUCAAUCGAAACUACAUUAUUUCGUUACCGUUUCCGGGAUGAAGCUCCUGAAAUUCAGAGGUUGCUAAUGACAGAGUUUGAUCUUCCAUACAAAGCUGUGAGCAAUGCUGAAUAUGAGAGUGUGAAGGACAAAUUGAACCAAGUAGCACGCGCAAUAGGACAACCUAUUACAACUGAUGCCAUCUUUUACAAGGUUCCAUUUGAGGAGGUGCCAGAGCUUGUGGCAGGUCGACGAGUAUUUAUUCAGAAAGGGAAUGCAUAUAUUGCCAUGAAUCAGGUGGUUUCACUAGUUGUCACGCAGUUCCGAAGUCAUCUUUCGAAAGCACUAGUGCUGACAAACAGAAAAUGGACCUCGAUGAUCAGAGAACAGGAGAAGGACCGUUUGGUUCCUAUUAUUGAAGCCUUAUCCACAAGUUACCUGGGUCCUGAUUAUAGCCAGCCGAGAGAACAUGCAGAAAUAUCACUUAAAGACAUUGAUCAGAUUGCUAAGAGUUCAUUCCCUCUAUGUAUGCGUCAUCUUUUCGAAAAGCUACGAGAGGAUCAUCAUCUGAAGCAUGGAGGGAGGAUGCAGCUUGGUCUAUUUCUCAAGUGUGUUGGAUUGAAGUUGGAUGAUGCCCUUGCAUUCUGGAGAGCUGAGUUCUCCCGAAAAGUUGGUGCUGAAAGAUUUGAUAAAGAAUAUGCAUACAGCAUAAGACACAAUUACGGGAAAGAAGGAAAGAGAACGGAUUACACACCUUAUUCUUGUCAAAAGAUUAUAUCAUCAGCUCCUGGAGUAGGAGAUCACCAUGGCUGUCCAUAUCGUCAUUUCAGUGAGGAGAAUCUGAGAGCUGCCCUGACCAGGAUGAGAGUAGGCAAUCGAGCACUGGAGGAUGUGUUGGACAAAGUCCGAAAUAGACAUUAUCAGUUGGCAUGCACUUUGACCUUUGAAGCUGUUCACGGCUCAUCUUGUGAUGCCGGGGUUAACCAUCCAAAUCAGUACUACAAUGACAGUCAGAAGAUCUUGGAAUCACAGGGCUAUGAUGCUGAAUGCCAUUUGAUGUUGGAGAAAUGCUUCUUUAUUAUUUGACCAACUUUUCAAUAUUCUGGCCCUUUCAGUGGGCACGUGGCUUUCCAGAUUUCGAAAUCAUGUCUUAAUAUGUAUCUUCUUUUCGUGGUUAAUCUACUUUCAGAAUAGUUCCAGCAACCCACAAGGAACAACAGCAAUAUAGAUGUGUUGCCUCCCUUAUUGGAAGAUCUGGUUGACUCACACCUGCAAGAAUCCAAAGAGACCAUGCAGGACCAAGUAUAAAGAAGAGCUGAUGCCUUUUCUGUCCAAAGAACGUAGAAAGAGAAGGCAGUUGAAUCACCGGAUACAGUUUUUCGAUGCUAUCCCAUCGUUUUAAAGCAUUAGUGGUAUGCGUAGACUGCAAGUCUGUAACUUUUAUUAACCUCAACCCUGUUCAAAUCUAGAUCUAUAUAUAUAAUGCUAGACUGAGCAAGGUGAUGUGACAUUCUCUCUGGCCUUUCUUACUUCUCUACUCAGAAGAUUUGCGGAAAAAAAGUUGUCUUUUAUCCCCCUCUUUAUUAAUAUGUAAUAGUUAAGUAUA
RNA transcript from Solanum dulcamara, 2006 nucleotides. It is a transcript of the gene named probable DNA primase large subunit, with no coding region annotated. The transcript has 20 exons. NCBI's taxonomy places the organism in Eukaryota, Viridiplantae, Streptophyta, Magnoliopsida, Solanales, Solanaceae. The record is from RefSeq and is a predicted model, not a curated record.